GAUGAACGCUGGCGGCGUGCUUAACACAUGCAAGUCGAACGGAAAGGCCCUGCUUUUGUGGGGUGCUCGAGUGGCGAACGGGUGAGUAACACGUGAGUAACCUGCCCUUGACUUUGGGAUAACUUCAGGAAACUGGGGCUAAUACCGGAUAGGAGCUCCUACUGCAUGGUGGGGGUUGGAAAGUUUCGGCGGUUGGGGAUGGACUCGCGGCUUAUCAGCUUGUUGGUGGGGUAGUGGCUUACCAAGGCUUUGACGGGUAGCCGGCCUGAGAGGGUGACCGGCCACAUUGGGACUGAGAUACGGCCCAGACUCCUACGGGAGGCAGCAGUGGGGAAUAUUGCACAAUGGGCGGAAGCCUGAUGCAGCAACGCCGCGUGCGGGAUGACGGCCUUCGGGUUGUAAACCGCUUUCGCCUGUGACGAAGCGUGAGUGACGGUAAUGGGUAAAGAAGCACCGGCUAACUACGUG
RNAcentral lists this ribosomal RNA (468 nucleotides) under uncultured bacterium. Its description in RNAcentral is "partial 16S ribosomal RNA". It matches the Rfam family "Bacterial small subunit ribosomal RNA", at positions 28 to 507 of the family's 1533-position model. The record is from RNAcentral.